GCGCCCGCGGGGCUCGGGGGCCGCGCCUGACGGGGGGGGGAGGGGAGCCGCCCCCAGGAGACCGGCUGCGCCCCCACCGCGGGCCGCGGACUGGGGCGCAGAGAGAGAAUCCCGCAUAAUCUGGCCUGGGGGAGGACAGCGUGGAGCCCGCUUUCCGCUCCCUGGCGGGCUGCCCCCACCCUCCCACGGCCCCGGGAACAAUGCACCUCCGCGCGUGGGCCGGGAGGCCCCUACCCUGCCCUGCCCUAAGUCCCAGGCAGCGCCUUCCGAGGCCGACUGGCGCCUGCCACCCGCUUUUGCCCAGAGGUCCGAGGCACUAGCGGAGAGAAUGAACCCUUCCCACCUCUGGAGCGCCCGCAGACCCCAGGCCAUUCCGGGAAGGCGUCCCGCGUCCCUCUAGGAGUGUCUUCGCGCCCCUUGCGCACAAAGAGGGGACGAUCCCUUUCGGGGACGCCGCUCUCACUCCCAUCCUCCACUCCCCUGGUUCGGGGAUGCUGAGGAAGCCUCGGCUUUCUGGCCCUGUUAACCCACCCCAGUCCCGCGUGGGUCUGGCUGAAGCCUGGGCGGGGACCGGCUCCGGACCCUGCGCUCUCCCGGGUACGACCUUACAUGACACGUCCACCUCUUGUCACCUCGUUAUCCCAUAGUAGCUCCCAUCGGCUACCUCUGGGCAGGCGACGGGUGGGACGUUUGCGUCCCAAGUCCGCGCCAGGCUUUGUCUCCGUCUCCACCGCCCCCUCCCCAGAGCCUCUAUCCAGGGAACCGCCUCGUGUCAGCGCGGUUACGAGGACUGCGCUGCCCCGCAGAUUUAUUCAAAUCAAACAACUGUUGUAACGCUUUCAAGUAACCCCUCCCAGAAUACCUCGACUGCCCCAAAUACAGCUAAUGCCACCACCACCACGGCAACUGGCGGUGCUCUCCAGUCAACAGCCAGUCUCUUCGUGAUCUCACUCUCCCUUCUACAUCUCUACUGUUAAGAGACUCAGGCCAAGAAACAUCUAUACUUCCCCAUCUUCUAAACCUAAUCCAAAUGGCGUCUAGACAUCUGGUGUGACAAGGAAAAAAAACAGGUCUUCAGUGAAUCUGCUAAUUCCACACCUUAUUUUAUUGACACAGAAAAUGUUGAGGAUCCCAAAUUUGAUUGGUUUGAAGAACAUGUGAAGGGUUUGACUAGAUGAUGAAUGUCGGUUAAAUCUACUGGAGUUUCAUGUACAAGAUGAAGAGACAACAUCCAAGAUUAGUUAAGAGAUGAUUUCUUUAAAUGUGGCUUAAGAAGUAUGGACACCUAAAAUUCCACCUUGAAAAUGAGAAUAGAUUUUAUCUUACCUAGAUACAAAGGAUGGGAUGUAAACAGAAUCCGUUUCAUUUGGCUCAUUAAAUCUUUAUGGCCGUAAAACAGUUAGGUAAUACAAAAAGCUUCCAUGAUUCUAUUUAUAUGUACAUUAGAAGGAACUUCCAGGUGUCACUGUAAAUCCUCAAUGCAUUGUCUCAGCAGUACUAAUUUAAUGCCUAUGUACUCUAGAUAAAGUUUUACAUUGUUAAGCUAUCACUGUUUCUUGGGAACUGAACUCUUUCCUCUGAGGCUUUGGAUUUGACAUUGCAUUUGAUUUUUUUAUAUAGUAAUUGACAUGUGCCAGGGCAGUGAUGGAUUGGAAUCUACCCCGGAUUGAAGCAUAAUGAGUAAAUUUUGCUUACAUACUAUCACUUAGUCCUGUUCAACAAGAGUGCCAGAUUCAUUUAGCUAAACUGAUUCCAAAGAGUAGAAGAAGUACAUUGACCUCAACUAAUUUAAGAAUGCUUUGUAUUUCUGCAUAUGCUGAAUACUUUUUACGAUUUAAAAAAUGAUCUGUUUUGAAGGUAAAAUCGACAAAUCUUGAAAUUAAAAAGGCAAAAUAUGUGCCGGAGCCAAAAUUGUAAAUCAAGUAUUUGGGAAGUGAAGAUUGGAAGCUUGCUUACAUUAAAUUCGGAAAAACUUUUAUACUCUUUCUGUAAAUACUUUUUUUUUUUUUUUUAACUCUGAAUCAGAAUAGCCACAUUUGGAACGCUUUCUGUUAGUCAAUAUUUUUAGAUAGGUAGAACCUGGUCCUAAGCCUAAAGUGGGCUUGAUUCUGGAAAGUAAAUCUUUUCACAACUGCCUCGAUGCACAGAAAGCUUUUUAAAAAUAGACACUCUAAGGUCUUUUGUUCGCAUGGUCACACACCGAUGCUUAGAUGUUCCGCUAUCUAAUAUGGCCACAGUAGUCUUGAUAACCAAGGUCCUUUUUUCCCAUCUUUAGGAACCCACACCAGAAAAACUGUAUCCAGCAGAUCUCAAGCUACUGUGUGUGUGAAUGAACAUUCCGUUUUGUUUCAUACCUGAAUGCUGUACAUCUAUUUUGGAUUGUAUAUUGUGUUUGUGUAUUUAUGCUUUGAUUCAUAGUAACUUCUCAUGUUAUGGAAUUGAUUUGCAUUGAACACAAACUGUAAAUAAAAAGAAAUGGCUGAAAAAGCAA
Molecule: long non-coding RNA, 2491 nt
Organism: Leopardus geoffroyi (Geoffroy's cat)
Lineage: Eukaryota; Metazoa; Chordata; Mammalia; Carnivora; Felidae
Exons: 2
Source: RefSeq, a predicted model, not a curated record